AUUAUUGGGCGUAAGCGCGCGCAGGCGGUUUCUUAAGUCUGAUGUGAAAGCCCACGGCUCAACCGUGGAGGGUCAUUGGAAACUGGGGAACUUGAGUGCAGAAGAGAAAAGCGGAAUUCCACGUGUAGCGGUGAAAUGCGUAGAGAUGUGGAGGAACACCAGUGGCGAAGGCGGCUUUUUGGUCUGUAACUGACGCUGAGGCGCGAAAGCGUGGGGAGCAAACAGGAUUAGAUACCCUGGUAGUCCACGCCGUAAACGAUGAGUGCUAAGUGUUAGAGGGUUUCCGCCCUUUAGUGCUGCAGCUAACGCAUUAAGCACUCCGCCUGGGGAGUACGGUCGCAAGACUGAAACUCAAAAG
RNAcentral lists this ribosomal RNA (358 nucleotides) under Priestia megaterium. RNAcentral's name for it is "bacterial SSU rRNA". It matches the Rfam family "Bacterial small subunit ribosomal RNA", at positions 550 to 907 of the family's 1533-position model. Lineage: Bacteria; Bacillati; Bacillota; Bacilli; Caryophanales; Bacillaceae. The record is from RNAcentral.